UAGAGACCCCAGAGAGAGUGGGAGAGUGCUUUCUGGAACGGAAAGAAACUUUCAGGUCUAUGAGUGCUACUGCCAGAACAAACCUCGCUCAGAUGCCCUCUGGAGGCAAUGUUCAGAUUCAGCUUUCAUCCAGGAGUUAAAAAAAGAAGCUGGAUCAUAAACUAGGUCUGGACUCAUAUUUGCUGAAACCUGUUCAACGUUUAACCAAGUACCAGCUUCUUCUGAUGGUGCUUAACCAGAACAA
Molecule: long non-coding RNA, 244 nt
Organism: Carassius auratus (goldfish)
Lineage: Eukaryota; Metazoa; Chordata; Actinopteri; Cypriniformes; Cyprinidae
Exons: 3
Source: RefSeq, a predicted model, not a curated record